UAAUGCCAUCGGCGAAAUCACAGGGAACGGCUGUAAGUUCCAACGCGCGCUAUCUGUUUGGGUUCUCUCAUCUCUGCGGUCUCAUCCAACGGAUUCUGUGCAUCUUUCUGCGGUAUCCACUGGGGAGUAAAGUUAUGAGGUAUUUUUUCCACACUUCACAAGGAUGGGGACAUCACUCAGAAGAGUGAAGUUUUGAGAAGCCCUGGAUAACAACUACAAUAACAUUCUGAAGUUCGUCCAAGGAGUCAACUAUCAUCAACGGGGUGCUUCUUGGGCAUUAAUUCGGAGACAGACAGGCAGAAAGGACAGAAACAACAAGCUGCAAGUCUGUACACUGAUUAGAAAACUUAUGACUUGAAUAGAUGUCAGUCUAGUGUGUCACAAAUACUAGUUCUUUGUUUAGCUAGAGGCGAUUGUACACUUUGUACUCUUACAAUGUUCUAUAUCAGGAGUCUCCAACGUGGUGCCCAUGGGCAGCAGGUAUAUACACAGAGUCUGUGAGGUGCCCACCAAAUCACAUUCUAUUAAUAGUCUCAAUUGUAAUAUUUGUUGAUUACAUAUUUUUUAUAUUGACUUGGCUUGGUUUACAUAUGUUCAAAUUUUAAACAAAACAAAAACAUAUCAAAAAGUACAAUGAAAUAAAAUAAACAAGUAAAACAAAAAAAGUUUUGAGUAGACUAUAUCAAAAGGUAGCCCUCCAGAAUGUUUUAUCCAUUGUGGAAGCCCUUGCUCACAAAAAGGUUUGAGACCCCUGUUCUAUAUUGUGUCUGUUAAAUAAAGAAACAUGAAGAAAUUAGUGAAUGUCAGUCUACAUUGUAAAAAUAACAUAUUUGUUGCACUUAUUUUUUUACUGUUUAAUUAACUCUAAAUUACAAUUUAUUUCAACUUUUGACUAGUAAGGAGUUGCUAUUAAUUAUAAAAAAUAAAGUUGAAAUAACUUAAGCUAACUACUUUAAUUUUAUAAUUUAUAGCAACUCUUCAUUAGUCAAAAAAGUUAAAUGAAUUAUAAAUUCAAGUUGAUUAAAUUUAAAAAUGUAAGUUCCGUUUUUUACAGUGUAGAGCGGGGUGGGCAUUCCUGGUCUUUGAGGGCCACUGUCCUGCAAAGUUUAGCUCCAACCCUAAUCAAACACACCUCAACGUCAUUUCCAAGUCAUACUGAAGCCUUUGAUUGAGAUUUUCAGGUGUGUUUGAUUAGGGUUGGAGCUAAACUUUGCAGGACAGUGGCCCUCAAAGACCAGGAAUGCCCACCCCUGAUGUAGAGUGUAAGCAGUGUUCCAAUGCACGAAAGGAAAUAUUAUUCUGUGUAGUUAUUAUUCUGAUGUUAUUUAUACUAUCUGAGGUAGUCAAUGAAUAAUAUGAUAUGUAAUAAUAUGUUAUGCACAA
Misgurnus anguillicaudatus (oriental weatherfish) is the source of this 1383-nucleotide non-coding RNA. Lineage: Eukaryota; Metazoa; Chordata; Actinopteri; Cypriniformes; Cobitidae. The record is from RefSeq and is a predicted model, not a curated record.